Molecule: ribosomal RNA, 253 nt
Filed under: uncultured bacterium
Lineage: Bacteria
Description: partial 16S ribosomal RNA
Rfam family: Bacterial small subunit ribosomal RNA
Source: RNAcentral
UACGAAGGGGGCUAGCGUUGCUCGGAAUCACUGGGCGUAAAGGGUGCGUAGGCGGGUCUUUAAGUCAGGGGUAAAAUCCUGGAGCUCAACUCCAGAACUGCCUUUGAUACUGAGGAUCUUGAGUUCGGGAGAGGUGAGUGGAACUGCGAGUGUAGAGGUGAAAUUCGUAGAUAUUCGGAAGAACACCAGUGGCGAAGGCGGCUCACUGGACCGUUGUUGACGCUGAGGUGCGAAAGCGUGGGGAGCAAACAGG